UAGUAAUCGCGGAUCAGCAUGCCGCGGUGAAUACGUUCUCGGGCCUUGUACACACCGCCCGUCACACCAUGGGAGUCGGUAACACCCGAAGUCUGUAGCCUGACGCAAGAGGGCGCAGCCGAAGGUGGGAUUGAUGACUGGGGCGAAGUCGUAACAAGGUACC
This 163-nucleotide ribosomal RNA is filed under the name uncultured bacterium. Its description in RNAcentral is "partial 16S ribosomal RNA". It matches the Rfam family "Bacterial small subunit ribosomal RNA", at positions 1336 to 1500 of the family's 1533-position model. The record is from RNAcentral.